AAACAUUGAUCGUUUACUACAUUAAACAUCCGCCUGGGUAUUACGAACACUAGUUUAAAACCCAAAGGACUUGGCGGUGCUUAACAUCCACCUAGAGGAGCCUGUUCUAGAACCGAUAAUCCCCGUUUAACCUCACCCCCCCUAGCUUUUUCCCGCCUAUAUACCACCGUCGCCAGCUUACCCUGUGAAGGUCUAAUAGUAAGCACAAUCGGCACAGCCCAAAACGUCAGGUCGAGGUGUAGUGCACGGGAGGGGAAGAAAUGGGCUACAUUCGCUACCCCUAGCGAACACGAAUGAUGCAUUGAAACAUGCAGCUGAAGGAGGAUUUAGCAGUAAGCGGAAAGCAGAGNNUUCC
Molecule: ribosomal RNA, 355 nt
Filed under: Chloroscombrus chrysurus (Atlantic bumper)
Lineage: Eukaryota; Metazoa; Chordata; Actinopteri; Carangiformes; Carangidae
Description: partial 12S ribosomal RNA
Rfam family: Bacterial small subunit ribosomal RNA
Source: RNAcentral